RNAcentral lists this ribosomal RNA (890 nucleotides) under uncultured bacterium. RNAcentral describes it as "bacterial SSU rRNA". It matches the Rfam family "Bacterial small subunit ribosomal RNA", at positions 8 to 853 of the family's 1533-position model. The record is from RNAcentral.
AGAGUUUGAUCCUGGCUCAGGAUGAACGCCGGCGGUGUGCCUAAUACAUGCAAGUCGAACGCGUUGGCCCAACUGAUUGAACGUGCUUGCACGGACUUGACGUUGGUUUACCAGCGAGUGGCGGACGGGUGAGUAACACGUAGGUAACCUGCCCCAAAGCGGGGGAUAACAUUUGGAAACAGAUGCUAAUACCGCAUAACAAUUUGAAUCGCAUGAUUCAAAUUUAAAAGAUGGCUUCGGCUAUCACUUUGGGAUGGACCUGCGGCGCAUUAGCUUGUUGGUAGGGUAACGGCCUACCAAGGCUGUGAUGCGUAGCCGAGUUGAGAGACUGAUCGGCCACAAUGGAACUGAGACACGGUCCAUACUCCUACGGGAGGCAGCAGUAGGGAAUCUUCCACAAUGGGCGCAAGCCUGAUGGAGCAACACCGCGUGAGUGAAGAAGGGUUUCGGCUCGUAAAGCUCUGUUGUUAGAGAAGAACGUGCGUGAGAGCAACUGUUCACGCAGUGACGGUAUCUAACCAGAAAGUCACGGCUAACUACGUGCCAGCAGCCGCGGUAAUACGUAGGUGGCAAGCGUUAUCCGGAUUUAUUGGGCGUAAAGCGAGCGCAGGCGGUUUGAUAAGUCUGAUGUGAAAGCCUUUGGCUUAACCAAAGAAGUGCAUCGGAAACUGUCAGACUUGAGUGCAGAAGAGGACAGUGGAACUCCAUGUGUAGCGGUGGAAUGCGUAGAUAUAUGGAAGAACACCAGUGGCGAAGGCGGCUGUCUGGUCUGCAACUGACGCUGAGGCUCGAAAGCAUGGGUAGCGAACAGGAUUAGAUACCCUGGUAGUCCAUGCCGUAAACGAUGAGUGCUAGGUGUUGGAGGGUUUCCGCCCUUCAGUGCCGCAGCU